This 68-nucleotide transfer RNA is filed under the name Meloidogyne enterolobii. It matches the Rfam family "tRNA". From Rfam's summary of the family: Transfer RNA (tRNA) molecules are approximately 80 nucleotides in length. Their secondary structure includes four short double-helical elements and three loops (D, anti-codon, and T loops). Lineage: Eukaryota; Metazoa; Nematoda; Chromadorea; Rhabditida; Meloidogynidae. The record is from Rfam by way of RNAcentral.
GGCGUCGUGGUGUAAUGGCUAACACAUCAGUCCGAACUUUGAAGAUGCUGGUUCGCUCCCAGCCGCCG